GAUCCUGGCUCAGGAUGAACGCUAGCUACAGGCUUAACACAUGCAAGUCGAGGGCAGCAUUCUGAUAGCUUGCUAUCAGUGAUGGCGACCGGCGCACGGGUGAGUAACGCGUAUCCAACCUGCCUGUCACUCAGGAAUAGCCCGGUGAAAACCGGAUUAAGUCCUGAUGAUAUCAUUAGAGGGCAUCUGACGAUGAUUAAGGGUUACGGUGACGGAUGGGGAUGCGUCUGAUUAGCUUGUUGGCGGGUAACGGCCCACCAAGGCAACGAUCAGUAGGGGUUCUGAGAGGAAGGUCCCCCACAUUGGAACUGAGACACGGUCCAAACUCCUACGGGAGGCAGCAGUGGGGAAUAUUGGGCAAUGGGCGCAAGCCUGACCCAGCAAUGCCGCGUGAAGGAAGAAGGCUUUCGGGUUGUAAACUGCUUUAGACAGGGAAGAUACAAGACAGUACCUGUAGAAUAAGCUCCGGCUAACUACGUG
This 480-nucleotide ribosomal RNA is filed under the name uncultured bacterium. RNAcentral's name for it is "bacterial SSU rRNA". It matches the Rfam family "Bacterial small subunit ribosomal RNA", at positions 15 to 507 of the family's 1533-position model. The record is from RNAcentral.